Manis javanica (Malayan pangolin) is the source of this 4054-nucleotide non-coding RNA. The record is from RefSeq and is a predicted model, not a curated record. Lineage: Eukaryota; Metazoa; Chordata; Mammalia; Pholidota; Manidae.
AGACAGGAGCGGCUGGGAAUGUUUCCCUGGACUGUGAACCUCGACGUGGCAGUGAGAUUUCUGCGGGUCAGUCCUCCUCUGGGUGAAGUUCCCAGCAGGCCCCACUGGAAAGAAAAGGGAAAAAGAAAAAGAAAAAGACACCCAUCAUCUCCUGUUCCGGGCCAACAUACCACUGGGGUCAUAACUCAAAUGGUAGAACGUGUCACUGGCACGAGGUGGGGACGGCGGUACGCAGGAUGUUUGCAGAUCUGUGCUGAUGGAUGGAAGGUGUGGGCUUCUUGAAGCUCUGAGGUGGUGAACUUGGGUCAUGGAUUAAAAGGUAAAGAAGGAAAUCAAUGGGUGUGCCCAAUAACAUCCCCGAGGUGCAGAGACAGACGCAACGCAGGCAGACGAGAGGUCAGUGUUUGUAUCUUCUUUUCAAAAGAUCUGCUGAAUUCCAAGAGGAAUGUCUUGAGUAAAAGGUUAACAGAGAGAAAAAGGAUUUCGCCUUUGAAGGGUGAUUUCCGCUGCCAGGGUCGUCCCCAUAUUCCCUUCGCGCACUUGUGGUUUGCCUGAAGCCUGGGACGGAGCGGGGGCCCCCUGCUUUGUGCACUAGGGGCUUUUGUCUGUGUGCUUCUCUCCAUUAACACUGAUAGGUCCUUUCUGAUUUAUGUGAAUUCAUUUCUUUUUUAUUUAGCAUCUUUUCUGAUUUUUAGUCCAAUAAACUUUGAUUUCUUAGGAAUGGCCUAAUUUUCCUCUUUAGCCUUUUUUUUCUUCCUCUCACACUCUUUUUGAAAAUCUUUUCCUUAUAAAUCAUAAAGGUAAAGUAGUCAGGUUUUACCUCUCCCACGAAUUUUCUGUGCACAUGAAUGUCAUGCUGCAUCUCCCUCUCAAGCUCUACGGAAUAGGAACCUAUUGUUUUCCCAUUUUAAAGUGUUAUUAAUUACAUAUUCAAUAUAUUCAUGGUGUUAUUAAUUCCAGACAAAUUUGAGAAGUCUAUUCCUUCCUUCUAGGACUACUGAGGUGCCUGAAAUGCCAAGCGACAGUCAAUGAAACCUCACCUGUUGGAUCAAAGUGCUUCCGUCUGUUCAAAUGGAUUCUGUGAUCCCUGAAACAAUUCGCAGAAUUACCCUUCGGGAGGCGGCUGAUGUUGGCAUUUUUGUGCUGAACACGCUUCCUGGUUAUUCUGCCCAAACAGAAAGUUGAAAACUUCCAUCUUUAGGUCAAACUGUCUUGCUCUUUUUUGAUGUGUUAGAAAAUCUCUCUAAUAAUGAGACAUAUGAAAUACAGUCAGUGAAUAAGCAGACGAAAAGUGGGAAGACGAGGGGGAACGAGGAGAGAAAGCGAGUUUCUGACGGUUUUGAUCGUGACAGGUCAUUUCCUCUAGACUCACACUUGUUUGCAUCGGUGCAGGAAGCCGAUGGACCCGGUAAGGACGGAAGAGGGGGGCCCCUUGGGCCAACAUGAGCCUCGACAGGAAAAGUUGUCUGCAGAAUCACUAGUUCAGCGGAUAGUUUUCUGGGGUGGGAGACGACCUUAACUGGCUUUGUCCCCUGAACAUAGGUUUUGUUUUAGGACCUGAAGCAGACUACCAUGGUGGGAUCACAUAGGAAUCCAGAUCUUUUUAAUAUCCAAAUACUAAAUAUUAUGUAGCUAGAAUGUCAUACUGUUACAGAACGUGAGUUUGAGGGUUAGGCAGGCUUGAAAUGGAAUCACAUUUUCACUCCUGGGUGGUGGACAAGCUCUGGAUCAGGGACAAGUUGUUUAUAUUCACCCAACUUAGCUUUCUCCUUCACGUAGUAAGUGCUGUCACAGUACCCACUGCAUAGGCUCAUUGUGAUUAUCAAAUGAGAUGAUAUACGUAAAAAUGUUUAGGUGCUUGCUUAAUGCGUAUACCCUUCAAACGUGUUACCUGCCAUUAGUAGAUCAUUAAUCAUAACCAUAAUCAUAAUCACAUUAGUAUAGGUUAGGAAGAGGGGUUCUUUUUAAGAGUCUGGUCCUACUUUGGCUGUUGGGGGCAGUUAGGUAAAUUCCCUCUCCUCCUUCAUUGCCCAGGCGGAUUUCUGAUGACCCGUGUGAAACCCAUGCCACAUGUUUUAUUUGGUCAUCAUGCGUUUAAUCAAAUCAGACUCAAUAUUUUUGAAAAAUCAGCUGUCAUUUUUCAAGCCCAGUGUAAACUAACUGGUCAGUCUGUCAGUUAAAUCAACAAAAUUAAUCAGGUGCACAAAUCAGUAAGUGUUAGAGGCUGUACAAUAAAUAGGAGCAUUUUUUCCUAAAUCCAACAAUCUUGGUAGGUGGCAAUCUUGAAAUCUAAUUGGGAAUCGAGGAUAACAGGUACGUGAAUAUGAAUACAGAGGUAAGUACUGUGUAUAAGAACUUUGUCUUUAAGACAAUUAUGAGGUUUUUAUUUUGUUGCAUUUUUUUCUUUAAAGAGUAGCAGAAUUUUGUGAAUUCUGGAUUUACUACAAUUGCUUGCUUACCAAACACUGCUUGCUCGAAAUUGAUUUGCCCAGAAAUUGCUGGAUUUGAGGUCUGUCUUUAUAUUAACCCGCAAACUCAGUUGGAUGCCUGACAUCACUGUUAUUUUAAGGACUCAGACUUAGCGUCCAGCCCCGCUUCUCCAGCUCCUGACUUGUACCUCCCAUUUUAGAGUUGCCCUCCUUGAUCUCAUACCAACAGUGCCAAAACACUCUGCCCACCACGGUGCCAUAUUUGUAUUGCAUUUUACAGUUAAGUGAGUGUUUUCAUAUGUGUGAUUGGUUCAUUUAAACAUAGGAUUAGGCACUGCAUUAUGUAGCAUGUAAUGUGCAGAUUGUAAGUGUACAGACAAGAUGAAUUAGUAAAAGAUGUAAUGCUUGAGGAAGAUUUCAUAAAACAGGCGAAUUGACCUGGGCCUAGAAGAUGGAGUACAAGAAUGUUGAUCUUUCUACCUUACAGCUUCAUGCAUUUUCUUUUUGUUUAGUUUUAUAGGACAUGGGAGUGUAUUCUCAUAUAACAGUCCUGCCUUUGAAAGCUCCCCAGUGGUUCUCUGAGUAUCUCUCCAGUCCUUUCUCUGUGCAUUCUCCGUGUAAGUGCGCACAAGGAGAAGCAUACAUUUUUCAAUGGAGGGGGUUAUGCUCUACUCCAGUCUCUGACUUUCUUUUCUAUAUUGACAAUUUGCCUUGUUUUUUUUUCUCAUACAGUAUUUUUUGUGAGAUCUAGUUCAUGUACCAUAAAAUUCACUCUUAAAAUGUAUGAUUCACUAGUUUUUAGUAUGUUCACAAAGUUGUGUAACUGUCAACAAUAUCAAUCCCAGAACAGUUCAGCACCCAAAAAGAAACCCCUUCCGCAUUAGCAGUUGCUGUCUACUCUUCCCUUCUCUCAACCCCUGGAAAACAUUAAUCUAGUUAAUGUAGUUUGUGUCUCUAUGGAUUUGCCUAUUCUUGACAUUUUAUAUGAAUAGAAUCCAAAGCCAUUUGUGUUUGCCUGUUACCACAUAGCAUAAUGUUCUCAAGGUCCAGCUGUGUGGUGUCAUGAUGAGUACUUCAUUUCUCUUUGUGGCUGCAUAUUCUAUUGUAUGGGUACACCAAAUUUGUUAAUCCAUUCAUCCAUCAGCAUUUGGGUUCCACCUUUUAGCUUUCAGAACAAUGCUGCUAUGACCAUUCAUGUACACAGUUUUUGUGUGGGCAUGUACAAACAUGUUUUCGUUUCUCUGGUGUACAUGAAUCUUGGAAUUGCAUAACAUCCGGUUUGAAGUAUGGUAACUUCAGCUUGAGAAACUGCCAAACUGUUUUGUAAUGUGGCUGGAAAUUUUUAUAACUCUAUCAGCAGUGCACGAGAAUCCGAUAGCUUCACAUCCUUAUUAUUGUUUGUGUUUCUGAUUGUAGCCAUCCUACAGUAGGGGGAGUGCUAUCUCAUUGUGGUUUUAGUUUGCAUUUCCCUAAUGACUAAUGAUGUUGAGCAUCUUUUCAUGUGCUUAUAGCCAUCCAUUGGUAUACCUUCUUUGGAAAAAUGUCUACUCACAUCAUUUGCAAAUGUUAAAAAUUGGAUUAUUCAUCUUUUGUAGAGUUUAAAAUUUCUUUUAUAUUUCUGAAUA